This 1540-nucleotide ribosomal RNA is filed under the name Staphylococcus aureus VET0270R. RNAcentral's name for it is "16S ribosomal RNA". It matches the Rfam family "Bacterial small subunit ribosomal RNA". Lineage: Bacteria; Bacillati; Bacillota; Bacilli; Caryophanales; Staphylococcaceae. The record is from RNAcentral.
AGAGUUUGAUCCUGGCUCAGGAUGAACGCUGGCGGCGUGCCUAAUACAUGCAAGUCGAGCGAACGGACGAGAAGCUUGCUUCUCUGAUGUUAGCGGCGGACGGGUGAGUAACACGUGGAUAACCUACCUAUAAGACUGGGAUAACUUCGGGAAACCGGAGCUAAUACCGGAUAAUAUUUUGAACCGCAUGGUUCAAAAGUGAAAGACGGUCUUGCUGUCACUUAUAGAUGGAUCCGCGCUGCAUUAGCUAGUUGGUAAGGUAACGGCUUACCAAGGCAACGAUGCAUAGCCGACCUGAGAGGGUGAUCGGCCACACUGGAACUGAGACACGGUCCAGACUCCUACGGGAGGCAGCAGUAGGGAAUCUUCCGCAAUGGGCGAAAGCCUGACGGAGCAACGCCGCGUGAGUGAUGAAGGUCUUCGGAUCGUAAAACUCUGUUAUUAGGGAAGAACAUAUGUGUAAGUAACUGUGCACAUCUUGACGGUACCUAAUCAGAAAGCCACGGCUAACUACGUGCCAGCAGCCGCGGUAAUACGUAGGUGGCAAGCGUUAUCCGGAAUUAUUGGGCGUAAAGCGCGCGUAGGCGGUUUUUUAAGUCUGAUGUGAAAGCCCACGGCUCAACCGUGGAGGGGCAUUGGAAACUGGAAAACUUGAGUGCAGAAGAGGAAAGUGGAAUUCCAUGUGUAGCGGUGAAAUGCGCAGAGAUAUGGAGGAACACCAGUGGCGAAGGCGACUUUCUGGUCUGUAACUGACGCUGAUGUGCGAAAGCGUGGGGAUCAAACAGGAUUAGAUACCCUGGUAGUCCAUGCCGUAAACGAUGAGUGCUAAGUGUUAGGGGGUUUCCGCCCCUUAGUGCUGCAGCUAACGCAUUAAGCACUCCGCCUGGGGAGUACGACCGCAAGGUUGAAACUCAAAGGAAUUGACGGGGACCCGCACAAGCGGUGGAGCAUGUGGUUUAAUUCGAAGCAACGCGAAGAACCUUACCAAAUCUUGACAUCCUUUGACAACUCUAGAGAUAGAGCCUUCCCCUUCGGGGGACAAAGUGACAGGUGGUGCAUGGUUGUCGUCAGCUCGUGUCGUGAGAUGUUGGGUUAAGUCCCGCAACGAGCGCAACCCUUAAGCUUAGUUGCCAUCAUUAAGUUGGGCACUCUAAGUUGACUGCCGGUGACAAACCGGAGGAAGGUGGGGAUGACGUCAAAUCAUCAUGCCCCUUAUGAUUUGGGCUACACACGUGCUACAAUGGACAAUACAAAGGGCAGCGAAACCGCGAGGUCAAGCAAAUCCCAUAAAGUUGUUCUCAGUUCGGAUUGUAGUCUGCAACUCGACUACAUGAAGCUGGAAUCGCUAGUAAUCGUAGAUCAGCAUGCUACGGUGAAUACGUUCCCGGGUCUUGUACACACCGCCCGUCACACCACGAGAGUUUGUAACACCCGAAGCCGGUGGAGUAACCUUUUAGGAGCUAGCCGUCGAAGGUGGGACAAAUGAUUGGGGUGAAGUCGUAACAAGGUAGCCGUAUCGGAAGGUGCGGCUGGAUCACCU